CAUGCAAGUCGAACGCGUUGGCCCAAUUGAUUGAUGGUGCUUGCACCUGAUUGAUUUUGGUCGCCAACGAGUGGCGGACGGGUGAGUAACACGUAGGUAACCUGCCCAGAAGCGGGGGACAACAUUUGGAAACAGAUGCUAAUACCGCAUAACAGCGUUGUUCGCAUGAACAACGCUUAAAAGAUGGCUUCUCGCUAUCACUUCUGGAUGGACCUGCGGUGCAUUAGCUUGUUGGUGGGGUAACGGCCUACCAAGGCGAUGAUGCAUAGCCGAGUUGAGAGACUGAUCGGCCACAAUGGGACUGAGACACGGCCCAUACUCCUACGGGAGGCAGCAGUAGGGAAUCUUCCACAAUGGGCGCAAGCCUGAUGGAGCAACACCGCGUGAGUGAAGAAGGGUUUCGGCUCGUAAAGCUCUGUUGUUAAAGAAGAACACGUAUGAGAGUAACUGUUCAUACGUUGACGGUAUUUAACCAGAAAGUCACGGCUAACUACGUGCCAGCAGCCGCGGUAAUACGUAGGUGGCAAGCGUUAUCCGGAUUUAUUGGGCGUAAAGAGAGUGCAGGCGGUUUUCUAAGUCUGAUGUGAAAGCCUUCGGCUUAACCGGAGAAGUGCAUCGGAAACUGGAUAACUUGAGUGCAGAAGAGGGUAGUGGAACUCCAUGUGUAGCGGUGGAAUGCGUAGAUAUAUGGAAGAACACCAGUGGCGAAGGCGGCUACCUGGUCUGCAACUGACGCUGAGACUCGAAAGCAUGGGUAGCGAACAGGAUUAGAUACCCUGGUAGUCCAUGCCGUAAACGAUGAGUGCUAGGUGUUGGAGGGUUUCCGCCCUUCAGUGCCGGAGCUAACGCAUUAAGCACUCCGCCUGGGGAGUACGACCGCAAGGUUGAAACUCAAAGGAAUUGACGGGGGCCCGCACAAGCGGUGGAGCAUGUGGUUUAAUUCGAAGCUACGCGAAGAACCUUACCAGGUCUUGACAUCUUGCGCCAACCCUAGAGAUAGGGCGUUUCCUUCGGGAACGCAAUGACAGGUGGUGCAUGGUCGUCGUCAGCUCGUGUCGUGAGAUGUUGGGUUAAGUCCCGCAACGAGCGCAACCCUUGUUACUAGUUGCCAGCAUUAAGUUGGGCACUCUAGUGAGACUGCCGGUGACAAACCGGAGGAAGGUGGGGACGACGUCAGAUCAUCAUGCCCCUUAUGACCUGGGCUACACACGUGCUACAAUGGACGGUACAACGAGUCGCGAACUCGCGAGGGCAAGCAAAUCUCUUAAAACCGUUCUCAGUUCGGACUGCAGGCUGCAACUCGCCUGCACGAAGUCGGAAUCGCUAGUAAUCGCGGAUCAGCAUGCCGCGGUGAAUACGUUCCCGGGCCUUGUACACACCGCCCGUCACACCAUGAGAGUUUGUAACACCCAAAGUCGGUGGGGUAACCUUUUAGGAGCCAGCCGCCUAAGG
This 1452-nucleotide ribosomal RNA is filed under the name Limosilactobacillus fermentum. Its description in RNAcentral is "bacterial SSU rRNA". It matches the Rfam family "Bacterial small subunit ribosomal RNA". The record is from RNAcentral. Lineage: Bacteria; Bacillati; Bacillota; Bacilli; Lactobacillales; Lactobacillaceae.